This is a long non-coding RNA of Oncorhynchus keta (chum salmon), 1046 nucleotides long. RefSeq lists it as uncharacterized. The record is from RefSeq and is a predicted model, not a curated record. The transcript is spliced from 3 exons. NCBI's taxonomy places the organism in Eukaryota, Metazoa, Chordata, Actinopteri, Salmoniformes, Salmonidae.
UGUUUGCCUUGGUUGGGUUUAUUGUGGGCCCUAGUGCUGGCCAGGUGUUUGCCUUGGUUGGGUUUAUUGUGGGUCCCAGUGCUGGCCAGGUGUUUGCCUUGGUUGGGUUUAUUGUGGGUCCUAGUGCUGGCCAGGUGUUUGCCUUGGUUGGGUUUAUUGUGGGUCCCAGUGCUGGCCAGGUGUUUGCCUUGGUUGGGUUUAUUGUGGGUCCUAGUGCUGGCCAGGUGUUUGCCUUGGUUGGGUUUAUUGUGGGUCCUAGUGCUGGCCAGGUGUUUGCCUUGGUUGGGUUUAUUGUGGGCCCUAGUGCUGGCCAGGUGUUUGCCUUGGUUGGGUUUAUUGUGGGUCCUAGUGCUGGCCAGGUGUUUGCCUUGGUUGGGUUUAUUGUGGGUCCUAGUGCUGGCCAGGUGUUUGCCUUGGUUGGGUUUAUUGUGGGUCCUAGUGCUGGCCAGGUGUUUGCCUUGGUUGGGUUUAUUGUGGGUCCUAGUGCUGGCCAGGUGUUUGCCUUGGUUGGGUUUAUUGUGGGCCCUAGUGCUGGCCAGGUGUUUGCCUUGGUUGGGUUUAUUGUGGGUCCUAGUGCUGGCCAGGUGUUUGCCUUGGUUGGGUUUAUUGUGGGUCCUAGUGCUGGCCAGGUGUUUGCCUUGGUUGGGUUUAUUGUGGGUCCUAGUGCUGGCCAGGUGUUUGCCUUGGUUGGGUUUAUUGUGGGUCCUAGUGCUUUGUUUUUUGCAUCUUUGACCCUCAGUAAGGUACACCAGCUGGAAAUACAAUAUUUUUGGUUAUGGAAAAAUAUAUUUCACUGCAGUUUAGAUGGUACAAUGAUUCUGUACACAAUACUUCCUUGUUUUGUCACAAAAACUUUAAUUAUGUGAACUAAUAGAAUUUCAGCAACCAGGAAACGACAGAGCGAUUUCUGCAUAGUGCAACUUUAACCUGACUAUAAUAAUUGUAACUGUCCUCAGUGAUGUUUUUUUGUAUCCACACACACACGCGCAGCAGUUCAGGUACUUCUGAGUCUACCUUUAUCCAAUAAGGAAACCUUCUCUCCUCCA